UACGUAGGGGGCAAGCGUUGUCCGGAAUCAUUGGGCGUAAAGCGCGUGUAGGCGGCUCGAUAAGUCUGCUGUGAAAGUCCAGGGCUCAACCCUGGGAUGCCGGUGGAUACUGUCGAGCUCGAGUCCGGAAGAGGCGAGUGGAAUUCCUGGUGUAGCGGUGAAAUGCGCAGAUAUCAGGAGGAACACCUGGGGCGAAGGCGGCCGGCUGGGCCGUCCCUGACGCUGAGGCGCGAAGGCGUGGGGAGCGAACGGG
This 253-nucleotide ribosomal RNA is filed under the name uncultured bacterium. Its description in RNAcentral is "partial 16S ribosomal RNA". It matches the Rfam family "Bacterial small subunit ribosomal RNA", at positions 524 to 776 of the family's 1533-position model. The record is from RNAcentral.